CCAAGUUUAACAUAGAUUAGCACGAAAAAGAGUCAACACGGAAGACUGUUACAAAUUAGUGUCAUAUUAUCCAAACAUCUUAGAAGAAACAUUCUCAUCUGUAAUGAAUUAACCUAUUCCAUUGAAGCUCUACAGCCCCUGCUAGUCAAGUGACAUAUCCAACAUACUUGAUUGUGUUGUUCUUUGUCCUUUGCCACAAAUGCCUUCAAAUAAUCGUGAUGACUGUCAUGGUCAGCCGCAAGAUAAGAGGCAUGGUGCGAAAGCGGCGCAGUGAAUGGUGGGAGAUAGAGAGAGAACAGAGUCA
This 304-nucleotide long non-coding RNA is filed under the name Glycine max (soybean). RNAcentral describes it as "long non-coding RNA (GMAX_LNC000841)". Lineage: Eukaryota; Viridiplantae; Streptophyta; Magnoliopsida; Fabales; Fabaceae. The record is from RNAcentral.